AUACGUAGGUGACAAGCGUUAUCCGGAUUUACUGGGCGUAAAGGGCGUGUAGGCGGUCUUGCAAGUCAGAAGUGAAAUUCCUGAGCUCAACUCGGGCGCUGCUUCUGAAACUGCAGGACUUGAGUGCUGGAGGGGAUAGCGGAAUUCCUAGUGGAGCGGUAAAAUGCGCAGAUAUUAGGAAGAACACCGGUGGCGAAGGCGGCUAUCUGGACAGUAACUGACGCUGAGGCGCGAAAGCGUGGGGAGCAAACAGGAUUAGAUACCCUGGUAGUCAACGCCGUAAACGAUGAAUACUAGGUGUAGGGGGUAUCGACUCCCUCUGUGCCGCAGUUAACACAAUAAGUAUUCCGCCUGGGGAGUACGGCCGCAAGGUUGAAACUCAAAUGAAUUGACGGGG
RNAcentral lists this ribosomal RNA (397 nucleotides) under uncultured bacterium. Its description in RNAcentral is "partial 16S ribosomal RNA". It matches the Rfam family "Bacterial small subunit ribosomal RNA", at positions 523 to 918 of the family's 1533-position model. The record is from RNAcentral.